RNAcentral lists this ribosomal RNA (473 nucleotides) under Scarus niger (dusky parrotfish). RNAcentral's name for it is "partial small subunit ribosomal RNA". It matches the Rfam family "Bacterial small subunit ribosomal RNA", at positions 788 to 1491 of the family's 1533-position model. Lineage: Eukaryota; Metazoa; Chordata; Actinopteri; Labriformes; Labridae. The record is from RNAcentral.
CACUAUGCAUAGCCGUAAACCUGACAGCUCCUUACAUCUGCUGUUCGCCUGGGAACUACGAGCGUAAGCUUAAAACCCAAAGGACUUGACGGUGCUUUAUAUCCCCCUAGAGGAGCCUGUCCUAGAACCGAUAAUCCCCGUUAAACCUCACCUUUUCUUGCCCAUCCCGCCUAUAUACCGCCGUCUCCAGUCUACCCUGUAAAGGACCCAUAGUAGGCGAAAUUGGUACAGCCCCAGACGACAGGUCGAGGUGUAGCGUAUGAAAAGGGAAGAGAUGGGCUACAUUCAAUGAAACACUGAAUACGGAGAGCUAAUUGAAAUAUUAACUUGAAGGAGGAUUUAGCAGUAAGUGGAGAAUAGAGAGCCCCACUGAAAUCGGCCCUGAAGCGUGUACACACCGCCCGUCACUCUCCCCGAGCAGAGAAACUCUUUACCUAAAAAGCCAGAAAAUGUAAAGGGGAGGCAAGUCGUAA